CUGCUUCAGCAUUUGGGCUGCCUCCUCAUGGACGCUGUCUGAUCUCAGAAACUAAACAGGCUCAGACCAGCUUAGUAUUGGGAUGGAAGACUGUCAGGGAAUGCCAGGUGCUUCAGUUGG
Molecule: ribosomal RNA, 120 nt
Filed under: Salvator merianae (Argentine black and white tegu)
Lineage: Eukaryota; Metazoa; Chordata; Lepidosauria; Squamata; Teiidae
Source: RNAcentral